Molecule: ribosomal RNA, 459 nt
Filed under: uncultured bacterium
Lineage: Bacteria
Description: partial 16S ribosomal RNA
Rfam family: Bacterial small subunit ribosomal RNA
Source: RNAcentral
CCUACGGGUGGCUGCAGUGAGGAAUAUUGGUCAAUGGGCGGGAGCCUGAACCAGCCAAGCCGCGUGAAGGAAGAAGGCGCCAGGCGUCGUAAACUUCUUUUGUCGGGGAACAAAGGGCGCCACGUGUGGCGUUGUGAGUGUACCCGAAGAAAAAGCAUCGGCUAACUCCGUGCCAGCAGCCGCGGUAAUCCGGAGGCUGCGAGCGUUAUCCGGAUUUAUUGGGUUAAAAGGGUGCUUGGGCGGUCCGGAAAGUCAGCGGUAAAAGCCCGGGGCUCAACCCCGGCGAGCCGUUGAUACUGUCGGACUAGAGACGGGGAGAGGUACGCGGAAUGCGCGGUGUAGCGGUGAAAUGCAUAGAUAUCGCGAAGAACUCCGAUGGCGAAGGCAGCGUACCGGCGCCGGACUGACGCUGAGGCACGAAAGCGUGGGUAUCGAACAGGAUUAGAUACCCUGGUAGUC